CCCGCUGAACUUAAGCAUAUCAAUAAGCGGAGGAAAAGAAACCAACAGGGAUUGCCUCAGUAACGGCGAGUGAAGCGGCAACAGCUCAAAUUUGAAAUCUGGCUCUUUCAGGGUCCGAGUUGUAAUUUGUAGAAGAUGCUUCGGGUGUGGCUCCGGUCUAAGUUCCUUGGAACAGGACGUCAUAGAGGGUGAGAAUCCCGUACGUGACUGGUUGCCUUCGCCCAUGUGAAGCUCUUUCGACGAGUCGAGUUGUUUGGGAAUGCAGCUCAAAAUGGGUGGUAAAUUUCAUCUAAAGCUAAAUAUUGGCCAGAGACCGAUAGCGCACAAGUAGAGUGAUCGAAAGAUGAAAAGCACUUUGGAAAGAGAGUUAAACAGUACGUGAAAUUGUUGAAAGGGAAGCGCUUGCAACUAGACUUGCGCGCUGCUGAUCAUCCGGGGUUCUCGCUGGUGCACUUUGCCGGGCUCAGGCCAGCAUCAGUUUGCUCCGGGGGAUAAAGGCUUUGGGAAUGUGGCUCCUCCGGGAGUGUUAUAGCCCAUUGCACAAUACCCUGGGGCGGACUGAGGUUCGCGCAUUUAUGCAAGGAUGCUGGCGUAAUGGUCAUCAGCGACCCGUCUUGAAACACGG
This 625-nucleotide ribosomal RNA is filed under the name uncultured fungus. RNAcentral describes it as "eukaryotic LSU rRNA". It matches the Rfam family "Eukaryotic large subunit ribosomal RNA", at positions 24 to 664 of the family's 3401-position model. Lineage: Eukaryota; Fungi. The record is from RNAcentral.